This 467-nucleotide ribosomal RNA is filed under the name Smaug giganteus. Its description in RNAcentral is "partial 12S small subunit ribosomal RNA". It matches the Rfam family "Bacterial small subunit ribosomal RNA", at positions 795 to 1524 of the family's 1533-position model. Lineage: Eukaryota; Metazoa; Chordata; Lepidosauria; Squamata; Cordylidae. The record is from RNAcentral.
GCCAGCCCUAAACUUAGAUAGCACAACACUACCUAUCCGCCAGAGAACUACAGGCAAAUUACUUAAAACUCAAAGGACUUGGCGGCAUUCCACAUCAACCUAGAGGAGCCCGUCCAAUAAUCGAUAAUACGCGCUCAACCCUACCAUUUUUGGCCCCUCCAGCCUAUAUACCGCCGUCGUCAGCUAACCUUGUGAAAGAAAAAAAGUAAGCUCAACAGCCCCCGCUAAAACGUCAGGUCAAGGUGUAGCUAAUAAAAUGGAUGAGAUAGGCUACAUUUUCUAACUUAGACAAUACGAAUAACACAAUGAAACAUUGUACUGAAGGCGAAUUUAGAAGUAAAAUAAGAAAGGACUCUUAUUUUAACAUAGCCCUGGAAUGCGCACACACCGCCCGUCACCCUCCUCACAUUAACCUAGAUGAGGCAAGUCGUAACAUGGUAAGCGUACUGGAAAGUGCGCUUGGAUUC